Molecule: unclassified non-coding RNA, 304 nt
Filed under: plant metagenome
Description: partial contains 5.8S ribosomal RNA, internal transcribed spacer 2, and large subunit ribosomal RNA
Rfam family: 5.8S ribosomal RNA (bases 1-105)
Source: RNAcentral
GAAAUGCGAUAAGUAGUGUGAAUUGCAGAAUUCAGUGAAUCAUCGAAUCUUUGAACGCACAUUGCGCCCUUUGGUAUUCCUUAGGGCAUGCCUGUUCGAGCGUCAUCUAAACCCUCAAGCCCUGCUUGGUGGUGGGUGCCUGUCCCGCCCCCGUGCGCGGACUCACCUCAAAUCCAUUGGCGGCCCUCGUGCCGGCCCCGAGCGCAGCAGAAACGCGGUCUCGUGGCCCGGCGGAGCGUGCCCCCAGAAGCAACAUUCACCGUUUUGACCUCGGAUCAGGUAGGGAUACCCGCUGAACUUAAGC